GGUUAAGUGACUAAGCGUACACGGUGGAUGCCUUGGCAGUCAGAGGCGAUGAAAGACGUAGUAACUUGCGAUAAGCCCAGAUUAGGUAGUAACAACCAUUUGAGUCUGGGAUUUCUGAAUGGGGAAACCCACUUACAUAAGUAAGUAUCCUUACCUGAAUACAUAGGGUAAGGAGGCGAACCGGGGGAACUGAAACAUCUAAGUACCCCGAGGAAAAGAAAUCAACCGAGAUUCCGAAAGUAGCGGCGAGCGAAA
RNAcentral lists this ribosomal RNA (255 nucleotides) under Vibrio parahaemolyticus. Its description in RNAcentral is "partial 23S ribosomal RNA". It matches the Rfam family "Bacterial large subunit ribosomal RNA", at positions 1 to 258 of the family's 2925-position model. The record is from RNAcentral. Lineage: Bacteria; Pseudomonadati; Pseudomonadota; Gammaproteobacteria; Vibrionales; Vibrionaceae.